CCCCACCUGCCUACUACAUGGAGGGAAUACCUUUGUAAGUGUUAAAAGUUAACUGUUAGUGAUAAUUUAUGGGUUCUCUGCUGCCACGGUGGAACUAGUACACUAAGUACGAUUCGGAGCCGGGAAGAUACUACUUGGGGUAAUAGAAAAAUAACACACUACGUGUUGCUGCUUGAGUGCAGGUGAUGGUAAGUUUCCCAGCGUGCUGCAGGAGGCCAAGCUCCCGUUUGUGAACUACUCCACGUGCAGCCAGCAAGAGUGGUGGUGGUACGGCGUCAACACGAACCUGAUUUGUGCUGGGGAUGAUCACGCAGUUUGCAAUGGUGACUCGGGUGGGCCACUGAGUUGCCAGGAACCCAACGGCUCCUGGGUUGUGUAUGGAAUCACCAGCUUUGGACAUAAAAACUGCAGCGUUUUCCACAAGCCCUCCGUUUUCACACGGGUGUCUGCCUACACAGACUGGGUCUCUCAAGUGAUGGAGACUUCAUCACGAUCAACAGCAAGUCUGUGCUCUGCACACCUUCUCAUGCUUGGCCUCACUCAGUCGCUCGUGAGCCUCUUCCGGAACUGAUGCUCACUCUUUCGAUCUGCACGGCUCCAAGAUGACACCGACCUGUAAUGCCUCGCAUCACCUUGCCCAAUUGAAUUUAUAAUAAAAGCACUCAUAUGAUAGUGGAACUAUGUUGUGCGGUACAAUGUCGCACGUCCGACUCGCUGGAAACCAAGGUCAUGCCAUGCUUGUGUAACGAAGAUCUGUGCUUUACAACAUCUGUACCAUCGCAGGACGCCCAUAGAGUCUAGCUGCUCAUUAUAUGUGUAGUGAGCGACUUCUGAGACACGGGGCGACACAUUGUGUAACGCAGCUACACAUAGGCUAUCCUAACACGCAGCCCAUCUCCGUCAUACACUACGCAAGCUGUUUGACUAGCGUAGCAGCGGCAAGGGAGAUGGUCUUGCAGAAGAACAGCCACGUGGUCGAAGACGAAGAGAUGACGACGAGCAGCGACGCAGCCAGGACCCAGGACCCGCAGAACAGCCCCGAACCUCUGGUUCGGUCCCCCUUAUAUCUGCCCGGCGUGGCCAAGCUCCACCGGUGACCACGCCCCCUUUCCAGAACUUUUGGGCUGGUUCCCAGAGCUUCCAGACUGACUCCGCCCUUCACCUUUACCCAGAUACCCCCCUUAUAAGGCAUUACGUAAUGCAGCCUUAACCGUAAUUAUCCCUACAGGCCGGCAGGUGUCACCCUGUCAUUACAUAUGUAUGUUGAACUUCUUUCGCACCGAACAUAGCGGGGGGAAGGACAACAAACUAAACUCUUGUGUAAUAAUUUAAUAUAAAUCUUUAUCUAAUAUAUAUAAUACAUCCAUCAGCCUACGUGUUAAACUGAUAUAAUAUACAGUACGCAGAUAUGUGAAAAAUGUCUGUUAUGUGAACAUUUAUGGAAAAAUACAGUUACACCAUAAUGUACAAACACAGCACUGGGUGUUAUUAAUUGGCGAGAGUGGAUAAGUGACAGUCGGAUAUGCAACACCGCACAUGUGUAAAAGUUUAGGUUUAGUGUCACUUCUGUUUCAUUUAACAGUUUCUGUUUCAUUUAUUUGGUAUAGCCCUGUGAGGCAUUCGGCUCUUGAAUCGGAUGCAACCGCAACAAAGAAAAAACAAAAACAUGAACAAGAAAACAUCUUAAAGUGACUAUAAUACACAUUUUUCAGAAGAUGGCAUUAGACUUACUGCAAUUCGCUAAAGAAAGUAUUACUAUGUCCACGGCUGUUUCACUUUUUUUUUAGUGUACAUACAAUGAAACACACUACGUUGUGUAAACACGUUUGUCUCACACAUCUGGCGAGCACUUUAACGACUUAUAGCACGCGCGCGUGUCCACAAUGUGUGAGUACGGAUUGCCGUCCGGCAACGAUGUCAAAUAUUUACACUUUGCGAACACCACAUCAACGUCCGGAGGUACGGAAUCAGCGUCACUGAUGGGGGAAAUUGCCCCCCUGAGUAACCCAGACGCGCGGCUUGAACUCAGUAAGUCUAUAAAAUAAUGGCUCUUCUGUGUAUUGAUAUCAAUUUCCCAAAGAGAUCCAGCCAAGGGGAUUGAACCCAAAUGCCUGAGUAUGGAAAAUGCUCUUAAGAUGUCUCGUAAAGCAGGCUACGAUUUAGAUUUAAAGCUUUCGUGACUGCAGGGAUUCAUCUUCUUGGUUCUUUCGGUAA
This is a non-coding RNA of Petromyzon marinus (sea lamprey), 2214 nucleotides long. Lineage: Eukaryota; Metazoa; Chordata; Hyperoartia; Petromyzontiformes; Petromyzontidae. The record is from RefSeq and is a predicted model, not a curated record.